Molecule: ribosomal RNA, 423 nt
Filed under: uncultured eukaryotic phytoplankton
Lineage: Eukaryota
Description: bacterial SSU rRNA
Rfam family: Bacterial small subunit ribosomal RNA
Source: RNAcentral
GGAAUUUUCCGCAAUGGGCGAAAGCCUGACGGAGCAAUACCGCGUGAGGGAUGACGGCCUAUGGGUUGUAAACCUCUUUUUUCAGGGAGGAAUAAAUGACGUGUACCUGAAGAAUAAGCAUCGGCUAACUCCGUGCCAGCAGCCGCGGUAAGACGGAGGAUGCAAGUGUUAUCCGGAAUCACUGGGCGUAAAGCGUCUGUAGGUGGUUUAAUAAGUCAACUGUUAAAUCUUGAGGCUCAACCUCGAAAUCGCAGUCGAAGCUAUUAGACUAGAGUAUAGUAGGGGUAAAGGGAAUUUCCAGUGGAGCGGUGAAAUGCGUAGAGAUUGGAAAGAACACCGAUGGCGAAGGCACUUUACUGGGCUAUUACUAACACUCAGAGACGAAAGCUAGGGUAGCAAAUGGGAUUAGAUACCCCAGUAGUC